Long non-coding RNA from Harpia harpyja (harpy eagle), 1703 nucleotides. RefSeq lists it as uncharacterized. The record is from RefSeq and is a predicted model, not a curated record. NCBI's taxonomy places the organism in Eukaryota, Metazoa, Chordata, Aves, Accipitriformes, Accipitridae. The transcript is spliced from 4 exons.
GACGUUGGACAUGGGACAUUUCCCAGCAUCGUACCUCCACAAGCCAUAAAAUACCUGCUUCUUUCGCUCCUGACAUAACAGCAAAUGCUCCUGACGUUCAGCCUUUGAGAUUAUUAUGUAGUGUUAAUUCAUCAUCUCUUCAAAAUGAAUUUUGAAGAUUUAACCACUUACAAACAACUCUCUCAAGAUAGCCUGGCAUUAUCAGCAUCUCAGAAAAGUGGGCCUCUGCCACCCGCCUUAUCAGCGAGGAAUGGCUCAAACACUGUUUGCUGAUAGAGGUACGACCGUCACUCGUUGCUGGUUGGAAGCUGCUGCUCUCCUGGCAGCCACCUACGCUUCUUCUAAGGGCAUCAUCAGCAGAGUUGUAGUUUAGCAGCUGAUGAUAAGAACUUCUCCUGUGGUUCCUCAGAAAAGCAGGCAUGUAUUCAUCAGUAGGAGUGUUUGCUCAAAGAAUAACGUCGUGCGAACGAAUGGUGUGAUCCUGCCAGCUGGGCUGGCUUGUGCAAACAACUCAGAAACAUGUUCCUUGAGAAAACCCCUUCUGAAGGAAGCAAAAAAACUUCUCUGUACAGAAACCACAUGGUUUUGUCAAGCUGCAGCCAGCUUGUUUUCAGGACACGCCAAAUUUUUGUUCACAGUUGAGGCAAACACACCGAUCUGGUGUCAAUAAAUGUCUUGAUUCAAUUCAGUUUUUGAAAACAGUGUGAUGGCCACAGCCAGAUUCAUUGGUGUCAUUAGCACCGGUUCUUACACAGACUGCUUAAACCAUGGUUUUGUUUUGACAUAACUUACAAGAUCACUUUUCAUCACUACCAGUAACUGCUUUGAGAAAUCUCUGGAGUUGAUAGUCACAUAGACUUACUGCAUUAACACUGUAUGCUGUAAGAAAUUGUACUGGAUUUUGUUUUCCUGCAAAGAUGUCUGGUGCAGCUUUGUGGGUAACUGCUCCAUGUAAAACAUGUUUUGGGCUUGAGGAAAACUGGGUAUAAAAUCCUUUUUUUACUGUUACAGAAAUUCAUAGCUGUAAUUUUUAGUUUCUGCAAUGCUGGUGAGGGCAAUCCCGCUCUGCCGUGAGCCAUCGGGUGCGUCACACGCUUGGGUGCUCCAUCAGGUCGCUCUGCUCUGGGGCAGCUCCCCUUAGGCAAUGUUUUCGCUACACGUUUGCAUCCCACUGAUGGUAAUUAACUAAUUUCUCAUUUUUCUGUGUUUACUCACCUGGGUGGAAGGAGCCCUGGAACCGCCUGGAGCAGAGGAGCACCCGGGCUCUGCCCUCAGUCCUCAUCCCUUCCCUGGAGCUGGGACCCAUGAGAGGCUGCUCGAGGCCACGAGCGAAGGGACCUUACAUAAGAGCUGCCUACGUCCUCCCCCUUUCCCGAACAGUUGGAGGAAAGCUGAACACAUGCUCUCCUAUCGUGUCUCUUCUGUGGAUAAGACAAGUGAAGGUAACAGCUGGUUAAUUCAUCAUUUGACUGCAAAAGGUUGGUGGAAUAAUGUACUUGAGAAAGGCUAAUGGGUAGCACAACACUGGUUUGUGCCGGAAGCUUUGGUGGGUUACAGAUUAAGACAGAGGGCAUGGUGUUUUCCAGAUUUUUCAAAAAGCUGACCUUUUGGGAUCACUCUAAAGUAAUAUUCUGCCUUUGAUCUCUUCUUGUCUAUAGUAAGAGGUAAUUUCUGCAGCUUUUAAUGUGUUUUAUUUCUCAUGC